RNAcentral lists this ribosomal RNA (549 nucleotides) under uncultured bacterium. RNAcentral's name for it is "bacterial SSU rRNA". It matches the Rfam family "Bacterial small subunit ribosomal RNA", at positions 355 to 895 of the family's 1533-position model. The record is from RNAcentral.
UAGGGAAUCUUCGGCAAUGGGGGGAACCCUGACCGAGCAACGCCGCGUGAGUGAAGAAGGUUUUCGGAUCGUAAAGCUCUGUUGUUAAGGAAGAACGUGUGUGAGAGUGGAAAGUUCACACAGUGACGGUACUUAACCAGAAAGGGACGGCUAACUACGUGCCAGCAGCCGCGGUAAUACGUAGGUCCCGAGCGUUGUCCGGAUUUAUUGGGCGUAAAGCGAGCGCAGGCGGUUAGAUAAGUCUGAAGUGAAAGGCAGUGGCUCAACCAUUGUAGGCUUUGGAAACUGUUUAACUUGAGUGCAGAAGGGGAGAGUGGAAUUCCAUGUGUAGCGGUGAAAUGCGUAGAUAUAUGGAGGAACACCGGUGGCGAAAGCGGCUCUCUGGUCUGUAACUGACGCUGAGGCUCGAAAGCGUGGGGAGCGAACAGGAUUAGAUACCCUGGUAGUCCACGCCGUAACGAUGAGUGCUAGGUGUUAGGUCCUUUCCGGGACUUAGUGCCGCAGCUAAACGCAUUAAGCACUCCGCCUGGGGAGUACGACCGCAAGGUU